This 593-nucleotide small RNA is filed under the name Pan troglodytes (chimpanzee). Its description in RNAcentral is "processed transcript". Lineage: Eukaryota; Metazoa; Chordata; Mammalia; Primates; Hominidae. The record is from RNAcentral.
AGCAGAGGCAGCUUCUGAGAGCCUGGGCAGGCAGCAGCUGGCUGACCAAGUCCACUGGAAGAGAAGGCUUGUGCCAGCCGGGAGAAGGAAGCCGGGGACAGGAUGAAAGCAACAACACCUUUACAGACAGUCGACCGGCCCAAGGACUGGUACAAGACGAUGUUUAAGCAAAUUCACAUGGUGCACAAGCCGGAUGAUGACACAGACAUGUAUAAUACUCCUUAUACAUACAAUGCAGGUCUGUACAACCCACCCUACAGUGCUCAGUCACACCCUGCUGCAAAGACCCAAACCUACAGACCUCUUUCCAAAAGCCACUCUGACAACAGCCCCAAUGCCUUUAAGGAUGUGUCCUCCCCAGUGCCUCCCCCACAUGUUCCACCUCCAGUCCCACCGCUUCGACCAAGAGAUCGGUCUUCAACAGAAAAGCAUGACUGGGAUCCUCCAGACAGAAAAGUGGACACAAGAAAAUUUCGGUCUGAGCCAAGGAGUAUUUUUGAAUAUGAACCUGGCAAGUCAUCAAUUCUUCAGCAUGAAAGACCAGCCUCCUUGUAUCAGUCCUCUAUAGACAGAAGCCUGGAAAGACCCAUGAG